AUCAAAAAAAGUAUUAUGAAUAGGUUCCCCACACAAAUAAUGCAAGCAUGCAAAUGAUGCUUUUUGCCUCCUACUAUCUUCAUUUGUUUUCCUUUUGUCUUCAAUUCCUUUUCUUAAGUUUUAGCCUUUCAUUUUAUGCAUUCUUUCCCCACUCUCUAAUUAUUCUUUUGAGCUCUUUUUUUUUUUUUUUUCCCUUCAUUUUUAUGGUGGGAUCAAUAAUGCAUUCACUUACUUUUCAACGUGACUCGAACCCUCGAUUUUUCGGUUGAUGUUGGAGGUGCAAAGGCAGAUGUAGAGUGAUGAUAUUGGGUACAUCUGAAUACAAUAUUUUUUAUGCGGAGUAUAAAUUUAUAUGUAAAAAUUUAUAAAAUUUGCAAUAAAUAACGUGUUCAAUGC
Molecule: long non-coding RNA, 396 nt
Organism: Capsicum annuum
Lineage: Eukaryota; Viridiplantae; Streptophyta; Magnoliopsida; Solanales; Solanaceae
Exons: 2
Source: RefSeq, a predicted model, not a curated record